GGAUUCCCCUAGUAACUGCGAGUGAAGCGGGAAGAGCUCAAAUUUAAAAUCUGGCGGUCUCUGGCCGUCCGAGUUGUAAUCUAGAGAAGUGCUGCCCGCGCUGGACCGUGUACAAGUCUCCUGGAAUGGAGCGUCAUAGAGGGUGAGAAUCCCGUCUCUGACACGGACUACCAGGGCUUUGUGGUACGCUCUCAAAGAGUCGAGUUGUUUGGGAAUGCAGCUCAAAAUGGGUGGUAAAUUCCAUCUAAAGCUAAAUAUUGGCGAGAGACCGAUAGCGAACAAGUACCGUGAGGGAAAGAUGAAAAGAACUUUGGAAAGAGAGUUAAACAGUACGUGAAAUUGCUGAAAGGGAAACGCUUGAAGUCAGUCGCGUUGGCCGGGGAUCAGCCUCGCUUUUGCGUGGUGUACUUCCUGGUUGACGGGUCAGCAUCAAUUUUGACCGCUGGAAAAAGGCUUGGGGAAUGUGGCAGCUUCGGCUGUGUUAUAGCCCUUUGUCACAUACAGCGGUUGGGAUUGAGGAACUCAGCACGCCGCAAGGCCGGGUUUCGACCACGUUCGUGCUUAGGAUGCUGGCAUAAUGGCUUUAAGCGACCCGUCUUGAAACACGGACCAAGGAGUCUAACAUGCCUGCGAGUGUUUGGGUGGAAAACCCGAGCGCGUAAUGAAAGUGAAAGUUGAGAUCCCUGUCGUGGGGAGCAUCGACGCCCGGACCAGAACUUUUGGGACGGAUCCGCGGUAGAGCAUGUAUGUUGGGACCCGAAAGAUGGUGAACUAUGCCUGAAUAGGGUGAAGCCAGAGGAAACUCUGGUGGAGGCUCGUAGCGAUUCUGACGUGCAAAUCGAUCGUCAAAUUUGGGUAUAGGGGCGAAAGACUAAUCGA
RNAcentral lists this ribosomal RNA (879 nucleotides) under Macrolepiota procera (parasol mushroom). RNAcentral describes it as "LSU rRNA". It matches the Rfam family "Eukaryotic large subunit ribosomal RNA", at positions 72 to 938 of the family's 3401-position model. The record is from RNAcentral. Lineage: Eukaryota; Fungi; Basidiomycota; Agaricomycetes; Agaricales; Agaricaceae.